Long non-coding RNA from Mya arenaria, 327 nucleotides. RefSeq lists it as uncharacterized. The transcript has 3 exons. NCBI's taxonomy places the organism in Eukaryota, Metazoa, Mollusca, Bivalvia, Myida, Myidae. The record is from RefSeq and is a predicted model, not a curated record.
UUGUACUAGAUAAGCCCCGUGUACAUAGUGGCCAUGUUCAGCCCCUAGAUAAACCUUGAUAAAGGAAUCACGAAAUCUGCCGUAUAUAGAACAGUUUUAGAACGAGUGUUUGGACUUAAUACCGGUUUUCAUAAUGCCUGUAAUUAUUUAAGUGCAUUUUAAGACUAACGAACGUUCGCUAAUGGCGUUUGAAGGAACAGCACGGGUUCUCUUUAUUUUUGCCGUACUACACGUGACAGGUGCCGUCACAACCUACACAUGGGGUUCCUGGGGUGACUGGGGAUCUUGUAUCAGUAACUGUCCAGACAGCAACACCGGCACGAAAAC